Molecule: ribosomal RNA, 392 nt
Filed under: uncultured bacterium
Lineage: Bacteria
Description: bacterial SSU rRNA
Rfam family: Bacterial small subunit ribosomal RNA
Source: RNAcentral
UGGGGAAUCUUGGACAAUGGGGGCGAACCCUGAUCCAGCCAUGCCGCGUGAGUGAUGAAGGCCUUAGGGUCGUAAAGCUCUUUCGCCUGUGAAGAUAAUGACAGUACCUGGUAAAGAAACCCCGGCUAACUCCGUGCCAGCAGCCGCGGUAAUACGGAGGGGGUUAGCGUUGUUCGGAAUUACUGGGCGUAAAGCGCACGUAGGCGGACCAGAAAGUUGGGGGUGAAAUCCCGGGGGCUCAACCCCGGAACUGCCUCCAAAACUAUUGGUCUAGAGUUCGAGAGAGGUGAGUGGAAUUCCAAGUGUAGAGGUGAAAUUCGUAGAUAUUUGGAGGAACACCAGUGGCGAAGGCGACUCGCUGGUCCGGUACUGACGCUGAGGUGCGAAAGCGU